GUGCUGCUUUGCACCACAUAGACUAAAAUUGAAAUGAUACAGAGAAGACUAGCAUGGUUCCUGCCCAAGAUGACAUGAAAAUUCAUGCCAAUUUCCAUAUUUAA
Nannospalax galili (Upper Galilee mountains blind mole rat) is the source of this 104-nucleotide small nuclear RNA. NCBI's taxonomy places the organism in Eukaryota, Metazoa, Chordata, Mammalia, Rodentia, Spalacidae. The record is from Ensembl.